AACAAUUAUGCUGUAGAUUGAAGAGGAAUAAGAAGACGAAGAGCAUCGACCAUGGCGAUGCAUAAGCUCAUAACUCGUGGAGCAGCUCGUGCGGUUCCAGGCUCAUCUUCUUCCGCCAAUCCUUUCCGUGCUCUAGGCAACGCUCUUAUCGGUUCUUCUUCCAAGACUUAGGUUUUCGUUUGAUUCACAAGCAGGAAAGAUUGAAGGAGAUACCUCAUCCACGCCCACAGCUUUUGAGCAGUAAUUUUGUCCAAACACUCAUGGCCACAUACUGCACCAGAUCUGAGAGAACGCUCACAAGGAUGAGCUUAAGAAGAACGAAGAUACCAUUUCAAGGUCAGCCGAAUCAUAUUGAUGUCAGGACAGUAAAUGGAUACGGUCAUGGGGAUGAUUACAGAGGAAACAAUGAAUCACAGAUGACUAAAUAUUCUAGGGAGGCAUUAAUUCAGCUCUUAAAUCUGGUGCAGUUGAAACUACAUCCUAGAUUUUUAUAAAGUAGAGUGUCCGCUUUGACAGGAUAUCAAUUUUUGAUGAAGUUUUCAAGCUAAUGUCACGGUUAGACUUGGUGGUAGACUUUUCUGAAUUCUCCCGCUUCUAUGAUUUUGUUUUCUUUAUGUGCCAUGAAAAUGGUCAGAAAAAUAUCACUGUAAAUAAGGCGAUUACUGCAUGGAGGUUAGUAUUAGCUGGGAGGUUUCGGUUGCUGAAUCAAUGGUGUGAUUUUGUUGAGGUUUGAGACUUGAAGUUUGUUGAUCAAUAACAUAUUUGUCAAGGUAGAUACCCCUGCAUAGAUUAUCCAUGAAUAAAAUUAGCAAGAAUGUGUUCAUUUUAAAACUUUAGAUGCUAAUGUUGGAUAAUUGAGAGGAGUAAUGUGGUAAAUGUUGUACCAAUAUUUCAUAAUUUUCAGCAAUUUAGAACUUCUCCUUUCCAAAGCUUGGCCACUGCGAAUUUUGGUAUUGCCAAUGGAUGCCACAGCUAGUGGAACCCCAACUAUACAAUACCAUAACAUUCUUGACCAGCUAAUUACCACUAUUGUUGUUGCCACUCCUGUACCAACAUUCAAAAUGAGGCAAUGCCAUCGCUUUGGGACCUUAAUCCCCAUAGAACUCUCUUUAGCUGCCAACCCCUCAAUUGUCCUUCAUGUCCUUACUGCAUGCAAUUUGGAUCCUUAAGACCUUGCAAAGCUAGAGGCAAGUGACCUGUUGCUCUAAAGUUUGGCAAUGUAUUGGUCUUUUAAAUCUUAGAAUUGAUAAUGCUGCUGGUUUGAUUUUGGAUGUGUGUGUUGCAGGCAAUAUGCUCAUUUUUCUGGCAGUCUGCAAACUUUGCUCCUGACUUUGAAUUGUCCAUAUCAGAGCUUGCUACUCUGGACAUGUGCCAAAAGAGUGGUAUAUUAAGCCAAUGACAGUGGAGAAACGUCAAGAAUUGAAGCAAAGAUGUGGGGGUUUCAUGAAAACUGGUCUUGAAGUUCUUGUUGGCUAGAGAGGCAUGUUUCAGAAGGGAGAAAUCACAGGCAAUAGUAGGGCUGGGUCACAGCAUUACUGUAACUUCAAAAGGAGCUAUCUAUUCAUUUGGCUCUAACAACUCAGGACAGCUUGGACAUGGCACCACUGAAGAGGAAAGGAGGCCUCGGCAAAUCAGAUCUCUGCAAGGCAUUCAAAUUGUUCAAGCAGCUGCUGGGGCUGGCAGGACAA
Molecule: non-coding RNA, 1688 nt
Organism: Prunus avium (sweet cherry)
Lineage: Eukaryota; Viridiplantae; Streptophyta; Magnoliopsida; Rosales; Rosaceae
Source: RefSeq, a predicted model, not a curated record